Molecule: ribosomal RNA, 253 nt
Filed under: uncultured bacterium
Lineage: Bacteria
Description: partial 16S ribosomal RNA
Rfam family: Bacterial small subunit ribosomal RNA
Source: RNAcentral
GACAGAGGAUGCAAGCGUUAUCCGGAAUCACUGGGCGUAAAGCGUGCGUAGGUGGCGCGUUAAGUGAGAUGUUAAAUCGUGUGGCUCAACCAUAUCGAUGCAUCUCAUACUGGCGUGCUAGAGGACGGCAGAGGCAAGUGGAAUUGGUAGUGUAGCAGUGAAAUGCGUGGAUAUUACCAGGAACACCAAUGGCGAAGGCAGCUUGCUGGGCCACUCCUGACACUGAGGUACGAAAGCGUGGGGAGCGAACAGG